Molecule: transfer RNA, 78 nt
Filed under: Candidatus Nanopelagicales bacterium
Lineage: Bacteria; Bacillati; Actinomycetota; Actinomycetes; Candidatus Nanopelagicales
Description: tRNA-Val
Rfam family: tRNA
About the family: Transfer RNA (tRNA) molecules are approximately 80 nucleotides in length. Their secondary structure includes four short double-helical elements and three loops (D, anti-codon, and T loops). Further hydrogen bonds mediate the characteristic L-shaped molecular structure. tRNAs have two regions of fundamental functional importance: the anti-codon, which is responsible for specific mRNA codon recognition, and the 3' end, to which the tRNAs corresponding amino acid is attached (by aminoacyl-tRNA synthetases). tRNAs cope with the degeneracy of the genetic code in two manners: having more than one tRNA (with a specific anti-codon) for a particular amino acid; and 'wobble' base-pairing, i.e. permitting non-standard base-pairing at the 3rd anti-codon position.
Source: RNAcentral
GCACCCGUGGCGCAGUCUGGUUAGCGCGCUUCCUUGACACGGAAGAGGUCCCCAGUUCGAGUCUGGGCGGGUGCACCA